CGCGGCCUAUCAGCUUGUUGGUGGGGUAACGGCCUACCAAGGCGACGACGGGUAGCCGGCCUGAGAGGGCGACCGGCCACACUGGGACUGAGACACGGCCCAGACUCCUACGGGAGGCAGCAGUGGGGAAUAUUGCGCAAUGGGCGAAAGCCUGACGCAGCGACGCCGCGUGGGGGAUGACGGCCUUCGGGUUGUAAACCUCUUUCAGCAGGGACGAAGUUGACGUGUACCUGCAGAAGAAGCGCCGGCUAACUACGUGCCAGCAGCCGCGGUAAUACGUAGGGCGCAAGCGUUGUCCGGAAUUAUUGGGCGUAAAGAGCUCGUAGGUGGCUUGUCACGUCGGGUGUGAAAGCUUGGGGCUUAACUCCAGGUCUGCAUUCGAUACGGGCUGGCUAGGGGUAGGUAGGGGAGAACGGAAUUCCUGGUGUAGCGGUGAAAUGCGCAGAUAUCAGGAGGAACACCGGUGGCGAAGGCGGUUCUCUGGGCCUUACCUGACGCUGAGGAGCGAAAGCGUGGGGAGCGAACAGGAUUAGAUACCCUGGUAGUCCACGCUGUAAACGUUGGGCGCUAGGUGUGGGGACCUUCCACGGUUUCCGCGCCGUAGCUAACGCAUUAAGUGCCCCGCCUGGGGAGUACGG
RNAcentral lists this ribosomal RNA (638 nucleotides) under uncultured Actinomycetes bacterium. RNAcentral describes it as "bacterial SSU rRNA". It matches the Rfam family "Bacterial small subunit ribosomal RNA", at positions 232 to 885 of the family's 1533-position model. Lineage: Bacteria; Bacillati; Actinomycetota; Actinomycetes. The record is from RNAcentral.